GCAAUUAUAUAGUGAAACUGCGAAUGGCUCAUUAAAUCAGUUAUCGUUUAUUUGAUAGUACCUUACUACUUGGAUAACCGUGGUAAUUCUAGAGCUAAUACAUGCUAAAAACCGCGACUUCGGGAGCGGUGUAUUUAUUAGAUAAAAAACCAAUGCCCUUCGGGGCUCCUUGGUGAUUCAUAAUAACUUAACGAAUCGCAUGGCCUUGUGCCGGCGAUGGUUCAUUCAAAUUUCUGCCCUAUCAACUUUCGAUGGUAGGAUAGUGGCCUACCAUGGUUUCAACGGGUAACGGGGAAUUAGGGUUCUAUUCCGGAGAGGGAGCCUGAGAAACGGCUACCACAUCCAAGGAAGGCAGCAGGCGCGCAAAUUACCCAAUCCCGACACGGGGAGGUAGUGACAAUAAAUACUGAUACAGGGCUCUUUUGGGUCUUGUAAUUGGAAUGAGUACAAUUUAAAUCCCUUAACGAGGAACAAUUGGAGGGCAAGUCUGGUGCCAGCAGCCGCGGUAAUUCCAGCUCCAAUAGCGUAUAUUAAAGUUGUUGCAGUUAAAAAGCUCGUAGUUGAACCUUGGGCCUGGCUGGCCGGUCCGCCUCACCGCGUGCACUGGUCCGGCCGGGCCUUUCCUUCUGGGGAGCCGCAUGCCCUUCACUGGGUGUGUCGGGGAACCAGGACUUUUACUUUGAAAAAAUUAGAGUGUUCAAAGCAGGCCUAUGCUCGAAUACAUUAGCAUGGAAUAAUAGAAUAGGACGUGUGGUUCUAUUUUGUUGGUUUCUAGGACCGCCGUAAUGAUUAAUAGGGAUAGUCGGGGGCAUCAGUAUUCAAUUGUCAGAGGUGAAAUUCUUGGAUUUAUUGAAGACUAACUACUGCGAAAGCAUUUGCCAAGGAUGUUUUCAUUAAUCAGUGAACGAAAGUUAGGGGAUCGAAGACGAUCAGAUACCGUCGUAGUCUUAACCAUAAACUAUGCCGACUAGGGAUCGGGCGAUGUUAUCUUUUUUGACUCGCUCGGCACCUUACGAGAAAUCAAAGUCU
RNAcentral lists this ribosomal RNA (1029 nucleotides) under Tricladium varicosporioides. RNAcentral describes it as "SSU rRNA". It matches the Rfam family "Eukaryotic small subunit ribosomal RNA", at positions 69 to 1106 of the family's 1831-position model. The record is from RNAcentral. Lineage: Eukaryota; Fungi; Ascomycota; Leotiomycetes; Helotiales; Tricladiaceae.